AGAGCACAGGUGCUGCAUGGCUGUCGUCAGCUCGUGUCGUGAGAUGUUGGGUUAAGUCCCGCAACGAGCGCAACCCCCGUCCUUAGUUGCUACCAUUUAGUUGAGCACUCUAAGGAGACUGCCGGUGAUAAGCCGCGAGGAAGGUGGGGAUGACGUCAAGUCCUCAUGGCCCUUACGGGCUGGGCUACACACGUGCUACAAUGGCGGUGACAAUGGGACGCUAAGGGGCAACCCUUCGCAAAUCUCAAAAAGCCGUCUCAGUUCGGAUUGGGCUCUGCAACUCGAGCCCAUGAAGUUGGAAUCGCUAGUAAUCGUGGAUCAGCAUGCCACGGUGAAUACGUUCCCGGGCCUUGUACACACCGCCCGUCACACCAUGGGAGUUGGUUUUACCUGAAGGUAGUGCGCUAACCGCAAGGGGGCAGCUAAC
RNAcentral lists this ribosomal RNA (427 nucleotides) under uncultured Alphaproteobacteria bacterium. RNAcentral's name for it is "bacterial SSU rRNA". It matches the Rfam family "Bacterial small subunit ribosomal RNA", at positions 1029 to 1457 of the family's 1533-position model. Lineage: Bacteria; Pseudomonadati; Pseudomonadota; Alphaproteobacteria. The record is from RNAcentral.